This is a non-coding RNA of Nylanderia fulva, 1633 nucleotides long. NCBI's taxonomy places the organism in Eukaryota, Metazoa, Arthropoda, Insecta, Hymenoptera, Formicidae. The record is from RefSeq and is a predicted model, not a curated record.
AUGUAAAAAAGAUAUAACAUUUUUUAUUUAAAAAAUAUACGAACAUUUAAUAACGGCGUGAGAAUCCCAUAUCGGGCUAUAAACAAUUGUUCCGAAACUCUUCUUAGUUCCUCCUGCUGGUGAACAAUCAGCUGUUGUAGCUCUUCGUGUUUUCUUUGUAAUUCGUCUUGUAUUUGAUUCUGUGCAGGAGUCAUCACUAUGCCCUGUUGAUGUAACAUCUGAAAUAUAUUCAGGAUAGAGAGAUUACAAAAUCGAUAGAAACUUGGAACUAAUAAAAAUCCUGCUAUUUUAAUCAACUAUUCGCACAAGUGAUUUGUAUUAAUAAGCUAUUAAUUAGCUAUUGAAUUCUUUACCUCGUGGGUAGGCAUCGUUGAAAGAAUAGGAGCAGCAGGCGUCGCAAAUCCCGCUGUGACAACUGGCUGUAAAUUAACAGUUGCAUAUUGUGGAUCCAUAAAAUUAGGGCAUGAUUGAUUAACAUCCAGCUGCUGCGUUUGUUGUUGUUGUUGUUGUUGUUGCUGUUGCCUACUGUCCAUCGACGUAAUCGGCUUUGAAACUAUGGAACUGCUUGCAGAAGCUGCAUUCGAGUGUGAUCCGUGCGUUAUUUGUGAAUGUGGAGAACUUCGUAACGAAACGGAUAUCGAAGAUGUGUUGGAAUCACCGCAAUGUCGGAGAUUGGAAGCGAUUGACAUCGACUUUAAUGUCUUUGAUGAUUUGUUCGACCAUUGCGUCAAUGGUGUUUGACAAGAUGUUGUGACCUAUGCACAUAUGUAUUAAAACGUCCUGAUUUUCCGUUUUAUCGUAACCCUCCAAUUCAGCGCGUAAUUCCUUCAUUACGUCGACAUAACUGACCACGUAAUGUGUGCACACGAUAAAUUCAGGUUUCGAGUUCCACUGAUUAUACGUGAUAUAAAAUCUGGUCUGCAACCAAAUCCAUUGCUGACCUUUCGUGAGGAAUCGAUAAUAGCAAGAUGUUCCCUCGCCUUUCUGCAUCACUAAAAAUUAUUAAAGCAAUUAACAAUUUGCGUUGCAUGUGCUUUCGUUCUUUUUUCAUUUAUAUACUCACGUGAUUCAUGGCACGUAACAACAUUGUCUAAAUCGUCCACGUGAUAAUAAUCGUAACCGGAAGUGCCUAAUACUUCAAAAGAUAAUUCCCGGAUAAGUUGAGGAGUCUGAAGACGUCCUGUGCCCACGAAUACUAAUCUGCGAAAUUAAACGUGAAUUUACGCUCCGCAAUGCGAUUUUAUUUUUAUAUAUAUUUUAUACAAGAACAAUACUUGUUGUCUGAUGCGUUGGUGUUACUAUAUUUUUGAUUCGGCAGUAAAUUGUCGACAUCGUUAUCCUUAACAGACCCUAUAUAAUAUAAUAUAAAAUUAUACUUGACUUUAAAUAUCGAAUUAUCUCAUAAAAAACGUUGGUAUUAAAAAUAUAUAAUAUACAAUUGAAAAAGUAUGUGCUGCAGAUUAAUAAUUUUUAAGAUUUUUUACUUACGAAAAUAUCCGAUAAAUUGUACAAGUUCGUAGACAGAAUCUUCCUGAAAAUUGAGUCCGCCUCUUUUAAUGUGACACGUGAAAGAUAUUUGGUCCUCUGUCACAAUACAAAAAAUUGUGUGUAAUAAAAAUUGCAUAAAUUUUUA